RNAcentral lists this ribosomal RNA (420 nucleotides) under bacterium. Its description in RNAcentral is "partial 16S ribosomal RNA". It matches the Rfam family "Bacterial small subunit ribosomal RNA", at positions 355 to 776 of the family's 1533-position model. The record is from RNAcentral.
UGGGGGAUAUUGCACAAUGGGCGAAAGCCUGAUGCAGCGACGCCGCGUGGGGGAUGAAGGCUUUCGGGUUGUAAACCUCUUUCGCUAUCGAACAAGGCCCGCUUAGGGUGGGUUGAGGGUAGGUGGAGAAGAAGCGCCGGCUAACUACGUGCCAGCAGCCGCGGUAAUACGUAGGGCGCGAGCGUUGUCCGGAAUUAUUGGGCGUAAAGGGCUUGUAGGCGGCUUGUUGCGUCUGCUGUGAAAACGCGGGGCUUAACUUCGCGCGUGCAGUGGGUACGGGCAGGCUUGAGUGUGGUAGGGGUGACUGGAAUUCCAGGUGUAGCGGUGGAAUGCGCAGAUAUCUGGAGGAGCACCGAUGGCGAAGGCAGGUCACUGGGCCAUUACUGACGCUGAGGAGCGAAAGCAUGGGUAGCGAACAGG